CUCAAGCUCCACCCCACCACCCCAGGCUCCUCCCUAACCCCACCCCCGGGGCGGCCGAAGAGGCUCUGUUGGAACCUCGACCACGCCAGGUUUUGCCGAACCUGCUUUGAAAGUAGAGAUAAAGCGGUCUUGCUGACUCCAGGGUGACUUAGUAAUCAAGCAUGUGGACGGAAGAUGAUAGAGAACUGGGCCGAGGAACAGAAGCAGAGGAAUGGAAGAUAGGUGCGGGAAGUGAACAACGAAGUCCAGGGAAUCUGGAGCAUGUGGCACUUAGCAUAAGUCUGCCAAGCUGGCCUACGUCAUGGCACGUUGUGCAAGGGACAGAUGAGUGACAGAUGAGGAGGGGAGACUGAAGCCCAGAGAAUGCAGUAGAUAACCACAUGCAAACACUACAGCUAAGGCUCGGCAACGGCCUUUGUCCUCAAAGAUCUACCAAGUUAGGUCAGCUUCAUGGUUCAUAUUGACUUGUUUGAGACCGGCCUUAUUUGCCCUGGAACUCGAUCUGUAGACCAGGCUGGCCUCGAAUUCACAUAAAUCCAUCUGCCUCUGCCUCCUGAAUGCUGGGGUCAAAGACUUGUCCCACCACCGUCCAGACUCGUGUUCCACGUUGAAAGCUAUUUAUUUACCAUCUACUCCAUUAAUAAAUUUCACUUUCACUGA
Molecule: small RNA, 660 nt
Filed under: Rattus norvegicus (Norway rat)
Lineage: Eukaryota; Metazoa; Chordata; Mammalia; Rodentia; Muridae
Description: uncharacterized LOC102551327
Source: RNAcentral